GUCGAACGGUAACAGGAAGCAGCUUGCUGCUUUGCUGACGAGUGGCGGACGGGUGAGUAAUGUCUGGGAAACUGCCUGAUGGAGGGGGAUAACUACUGGAAACGGUAGCUAAUACCGCAUAACGUCGCAAGACCAAAGAGGGGGACCUUCGGGCCUCUUGCCAUCGGAUGUGCCCAGAUGGGAUUAGCUAGUAGGUGGGGUAACGGCUCACCUAGGCGACGAUCCCUAGC
This 230-nucleotide ribosomal RNA is filed under the name Escherichia coli. RNAcentral's name for it is "partial 16S ribosomal RNA". It matches the Rfam family "Bacterial small subunit ribosomal RNA", at positions 61 to 287 of the family's 1533-position model. Lineage: Bacteria; Pseudomonadati; Pseudomonadota; Gammaproteobacteria; Enterobacterales; Enterobacteriaceae. The record is from RNAcentral.